Molecule: long non-coding RNA, 1120 nt
Organism: Tachysurus fulvidraco (yellow catfish)
Lineage: Eukaryota; Metazoa; Chordata; Actinopteri; Siluriformes; Bagridae
Exons: 3
Source: RefSeq, a predicted model, not a curated record
CGUCAGUCAGGACAUAUUGACAUUACUAUAGGGUCAUUAGAGAGUGCGGAUGUUUGCAGAUGUAAUUGAGCAUGACCGAGAUCCAAACGUAAUUCGAUGAAAAUGAUAUGUUUACGAGCUUUAUGAUGAACACUUAAUCUUCCUUCACAUGAUGUUGUGAAGAUAAUGGUGAUGUAACACCCUUUCUUUGUCUUGCUCCAGCUCCUGCCCCAUCUCCGCCUUGGCCAACUCCCUGAUCUCAUCAUUGUUUACACCUGGAUCAAAUUUACCUCUGGUAGCAUGAUUUCCCAGUCUGUCUCUGUUUGUUUGUUGCGUCUCUUUUCUUGUGUUUUGACUGCAUUUUUAAAACCUGCCUCAGCAUUUUCCUCUAAUCUCCUAUUGUCCUUGUUCCACGUUCUGCCGAGUUGCGUCAGUCUGGACUCAAUCUGAAGCAAGGUUUCAGCCACAACGAGAAGAAAAACAGCUCCAAACUAUGAGGACGGUGGAUGGGCUACCAGAGCAGAUGUGCGAUUUUCUCAUCAUGAUCCACUCCCGUUAGAUAAGAACUGGAAUACCGUACAAGGCUACAACAGGCACUGGAAGCAGACUGGACUAAGAGGAAUUUGGACUAACUCAAACUAAUCCAGUUAACUGAAACUCUAUUUUUUUUUGUCCCAGUAUGCAACUUAGAAAGGCAGCAGAUGCUAGCUCCAGGUAUUGACAUUGGUUCCAUCCUGAGCUUGGGUGGAGCUUUGCCUGUUCUUCCAACAGCCACAUGGAUUUCCUGUAGCUUCUACGGUCUCCCAGAAACAUGUCAGAAGAUUUGCUGUCAACCUGACCAGACAAAAGUAAAGUGCUUCCUGAAGUGAAUUCGGAAAAGAAUGCAGCCUUCAAUUGAAAUAAUAAUAAAAAAAAUAAUCCUUUUAGUGCUGUACUUCUUCUAAAUCCUCCAGUUCCAUCUGAAAGCACAUUAGCCUUGAUGUUUUAUACCUAUUCAAACAGUUCAACAGUCUGCAGCCUUGAAUCAAUUUUAUGACAGCAAACUCGAUUCACCUGCUGUUUAAGACUUCUAACACUAGGGGGCAGUGUGGCACCAGCCUUUCUUGCACAUACACCAUAGACACCGGUACUUAUAAGGACA